Molecule: unclassified non-coding RNA, 702 nt
Filed under: Hevea brasiliensis (rubber tree)
Lineage: Eukaryota; Viridiplantae; Streptophyta; Magnoliopsida; Malpighiales; Euphorbiaceae
Source: RNAcentral
CAUUCCAAAACCAGAAUCCAUUCUUGUGCCCAGAUGGGGCUUGGACAAGUUCUACAAGGGUAGCUAUUCUAAUUGGCCUGAUAACUACAGUAAAAAACGCAAAGACCAUUUAGCGUAUCCUGUUGGUCCGGUAUACUUUACAGGGGAGCACACCAACGAUAGAUAUUUAGGAUAUGCUACCGGUGCUUAUUUUGCAGGUUCUCUUAUCUCUCUUUCUCAGUUUAUUGAAGAGACGGGUUGAUGUACUAAUAUAUGCAUUGUGCUAAUGUAUUUGCAGGUAUCGAUACUGCAAAUGAUUUAAUCGAGUACAUAAAGAAUAAAUCUUGUAAAGGCUUUAACAGAAACAGAUGGCAUUAAGUCCUGGCUUGCAUCUGAAGGUGAAUCUCUAUUCGAUUUAUGCAAAAAAAUGAGCACAAAAUACAAAGAAUAGAGAUAAGCAACAGCAUAGAGUUGUCUUCCUUCCCAUGACAAGUCUUUAAUCAAAGCUGUCAUUGAAGUUGUCCUUUGCACAAUGUCCUGUCUAUUGUUGUGCUUAAUUUGAUACAUAUAUAAUAUCAAUGUGCAUGGGAAAUUUCACCCCCCAAUCCGUAUAGGAGAUAUGAUUGAUGAGUGGCUCAUAGUCUUUAGAGUGAAUUUGUUUCUUUCUCUGUCCGUUACUACGUUAAACUUGUGGCUUUAUAUUAAUAGAAAUUUCUUUCUUCU